RNAcentral lists this ribosomal RNA (468 nucleotides) under uncultured bacterium. RNAcentral's name for it is "partial 16S ribosomal RNA". It matches the Rfam family "Bacterial small subunit ribosomal RNA", at positions 28 to 507 of the family's 1533-position model. The record is from RNAcentral.
GACGAACGCUGGCGGCGUGCUUAACACAUGCAAGUCGAACGGAAAGACCCUGCUUUUGUUGGUUUCUCGAUUGGCGAGCGGGUGAGUAACACGUGAGUAACCUGCCCUUGACUUUGUGAUAUCUUCAGGAAACUGCGGCUAAUACCGGAUAUGAUCUCCUGCUCCAUGUUGUUGAUUGGAAAGUUUCGGCGGUUCGGGAUGUACUCGCGGCUUCUCCGCUUCUUUGUGGGGUAGUGGCUUACCAAGCCUUUGACGGGUAGCCCGCCUGAGAGGCUUACCGGCGACAUGGGGACUGAGAUACGGCGCAGACGGGUAAGGGAGGCAGCAGGGGGGAAUAUUGCAAAAUGGGCGGAAGCGUGAUGCAGAAACGCCGCGAGCGGGAAGACGGCCUUCGGGGGGUAAACCGAUUUCGCAUGUGACGAAGAGGGAGUGACGGUAAUGGGUAAAGAAGCACCGGCUAACUACGUG